AUUCCCUCUCUUGCUAUUUCUCUCUGUCAUAAAUAAACAAAAUCUUUAAAAAAAUAAAUAAAAUCAUCAAAGUAGGUUGCAAAAUGUUAGAUACGUUAUCAUCCCAAUGUUGCAAAAGUGGUAGCGAUGCCAAGACUGAAGACAGAAGGCGAUACAGAGCUCACUUCCUUCUCUUGGGAAUAGGAGGAAUUUUUAUUUUCUUCUUCAUCCUUUUCUGAAGUUUUCAAAAUAUAUGCUAUGACACUGUGUGACAUAUGCAAGUCGCAAUCAUAAUUAUAAUAAAACAUUUAAAAGCUUCAUAAGGGAAACAGUCCUGGUCUUGUUACCUGGUGCCCAUCUGAACGGAACAGCCCAGGGUUCCAAGAAUGGAAGGUUUGGCGUGCGUUCUCUCUGGACUUCUCGCUCUGUUUCUCUCUUUCCCUCCGUCUCUCCUUCCUGUCGGUCUCCGUCUUUCUUCCUUUCUCUCUCUCCCUCACUUCUUCUCUCUCUGCCUCUCUCUCUCCUCUCUCUGUCUCUCUCUGCUUCUCUCUCUGUCUCUGUCUCUCCUUCUCUCUGUCUCUGCGUCUCUCUCCUGGCUGCCAGUCACUUAUCUCCCUCUGGCCGUUCCCAAAUGGUCCUGGUUUCCAGUUUCUUGGCUCAGAGUCUUCUUGUUUUCCUGAGUUUUGCCGACGGCGGAUUGACAGUGACUGACACCAUGCAGAACCCGGCGGCAGGCGGCAGAGAAGGAAACUCAGCUGAAAGAGAAAUGGAGUAAAGAUGUUAACUUAUGUCAGGAGAGCCUGCUGAUUGGUUCUGUCUCGCACGGUAUUAUUUUAAAUCGAUGGCCGCGGCUGCAAAAUCAGAUAAUUUCUCAGAAGACUUGCAUGGAAGCAUAUUCUACGGUUGUUUAUGUUUGAGAGACGGAGGAUUACAUCAUUACGUCACGGACAUCUCUUGUAGGGUCGGAUGUUGCUUGCUUUGGAGACAUCAUUUCUCGGCAGCGGACUGGAGCGGUGACCCAUGUGUUUGCAGUCCUUGUGUGACGUGCCAUCCCGUUACUAGCUGUUUCUGCUGCUGUUGGGAACCCUGUGCUGCACUCAGCGUGGCCCCCUUCCUUCUGAGUUCGAUCUGGGAGUCGGAGACUAGGACGUUAAACAUUAGGUACAACAUAUAG
RNAcentral lists this long non-coding RNA (1153 nucleotides) under Mustela putorius furo (domestic ferret). Its description in RNAcentral is "lncRNA (ENSMPUG00000025202.1)". The record is from RNAcentral. Lineage: Eukaryota; Metazoa; Chordata; Mammalia; Carnivora; Mustelidae.